ACUGCCUGAUGGAGGGGGAUAACUACUGCUAAACAGUAGCUAAUACCGCAUAACGUCGCAAGACCAAAGAGGGGGACCUUCGGGCCUCUUGCCAUCGGAUGUGCCCAGAUGGGAUUAGCUAGUAGGUGGGGUAACGGCUCACCUAGGCGACGAUCCCUAGSUGGUCUGAGAGGAUGACCAGCCACACUGGAACUGAGACACGGUCCAGACUCCUACGGGAGGCAGCAGUGGGGAAUAUUGCACAAUGGGCGCAAGCCUGAUGCACCCAUGCCGCGUGUAUGAAGAAGGCCUUCGGGUUGUAAAGUACUUUCAGCGGGGAGGAAGGCGAUAAGGUUAAUAACCUUGUCGAUUGACGUUACCCGCAGAAGAAGCACCGGCUAACUCCGUGCCAGCAGCCGCGAGUAAUACGGAGGGUGCAAGCGUUAAUCGGUAAUUACUGGGCGUAAAGCGCACGCAGGCGGUCUGUCAAGUCGGAUGUGAAAUCCCCGGGCUCAACCUGGGAACUGCAUUCGAAACUGGCAGGCU
RNAcentral lists this ribosomal RNA (525 nucleotides) under uncultured bacterium. RNAcentral's name for it is "bacterial SSU rRNA". It matches the Rfam family "Bacterial small subunit ribosomal RNA", at positions 125 to 642 of the family's 1533-position model. The record is from RNAcentral.